Molecule: ribosomal RNA, 1546 nt
Filed under: Pectobacterium carotovorum
Lineage: Bacteria; Pseudomonadati; Pseudomonadota; Gammaproteobacteria; Enterobacterales; Pectobacteriaceae
Description: bacterial SSU rRNA
Rfam family: Bacterial small subunit ribosomal RNA
Source: RNAcentral
UUAAAUUGAAGAGUUUGAUCAUGGCUCAGAUUGAACGCUGGCGGCAGGCCUAACACAUGCAAGUCGAGCGGUAGCACAGAAGAGCUUGCUCUUUGGGUGACGAGCGGCGGACGGGUGAGUAAUGUCUGGGAAACUGCCUGAUGGAGGGGGAUAACUACUGGAAACGGUAGCUAAUACCGCAUAACCUCGCAAGAGCAAAGAGGGGGACCUUCGGGCCUCUCGCCAUCAGAUGUGCCCAGAUGGGAUUAGCUAGUAGGUGAGGUAAUGGCUCACCUAGGCGACGAUCCCUAGCUGGUCUGAGAGGAUGACCAGCCACACUGGAACUGAGACACGGUCCAGACUCCUACGGGAGGCAGCAGUGGGGAAUAUUGCACAAUGGGCGCAAGCCUGAUGCAGCCAUGCCGCGUGUGUGAAGAAGGCCUUCGGGUUGUAAAGCACUUUCAGCGAGGAGGAAGGCGGUAAGGUUAAUAACCUUAUCGAUUGACGUUACUCGCAGAAGAAGCACCGGCUAACUCCGUGCCAGCAGCCGCGGUAAUACGGAGGGUGCAAGCGUUAAUCGGAAUGACUGGGCGUAAAGCGCACGCAGGCGGUCUGUUAAGUUGGAUGUGAAAUCCCCGGGCUUAACCUGGGAACUGCAUUCAAAACUGACAGGCUAGAGUCUUGUAGAGGGGGGUAGAAUUCCAGGUGUAGCGGUGAAAUGCGUAGAGAUCUGGAGGAAUACCGGUGGCGAAGGCGGCCCCCUGGACAAAGACUGACGCUCAGGUGCGAAAGCGUGGGGAGCAAACAGGAUUAGAUACCCUGGUAGUCCACGCUGUAAACGAUGUCGAUUUGGAGGUUGUGCCCUUGAGGCGUGGCUUCCGGAGCUAACGCGUUAAAUCGACCGCCUGGGGAGUACGGCCGCAAGGUUAAAACUCAAAUGAAUUGACGGGGGCCCGCACAAGCGGUGGAGCAUGUGGUUUAAUUCGAUGCAACGCGAAGAACCUUACCUACUCUUGACAUCCAGAGAAUUAGCUAGAGAUAGCUGAGUGCCUUCGGGAACUCUGAGACAGGUGCUGCAUGGCUGUCGUCAGCUCGUGUUGUGAAAUGUUGGGUUAAGUCCCGCAACGAGCGCAACCCUUAUCCUUUGUUGCCAGCGAUUCGGUCGGGAACUCAAAGGAGACUGCCGGUGAUAAACCGGAGGAAGGUGGGGAUGACGUCAAGUCAUCAUGGCCCUUACGAGUAGGGCUACACACGUGCUACAAUGGCGUAUACAAAGAGAAGCGACCUCGCGAGAGCAAGCGGACCUCAUAAAGUACGUCGUAGUCCGGAUUGGAGUCUGCAACUCGACUCCAUGAAGUCGGAAUCGCUAGUAAUCGUAGAUCAGAAUGCUACGGUGAAUACGUUCCCGGGCCUUGUACACACCGCCCGUCACACCAUGGGAGUGGGUUGCAAAAGAAGUAGGUAGCUUAACCUUCGGGAGGGCGCUUACCACUUUGUGAUUCAUGACUGGGGUGAAGUCGUAACAAGGUAACCGUAGGGGAACCUGCGGUUGGAUCACCUCCUUACC